UGUGUUUUAAGUGCAGUAUUCAUGGAGACCCUCUCCCCAGAAAUACAUGUUAAUUAUUCCUAACUUUUCUCAGAGGCUUGUUUUGCUGUCUUGUGAUAAAAUCUCAAGGUCAGGAAGGAAGACACUUUUAGUGAUGCUCAUACAGUUGGCAUUGUAAAAUUUUAUUUUUAAGUGAAGGUGGUGCUAAUGGAAAGGGUGAUAAAUUUUAAUUUCUAUUAAAUACUGGUGCACUGGCUAUAACUAUCUAGUAGCACUUGCACAACACUGUUGACAGGCUUGCUAAUGGAUUAAAGGGAGUUGAUGUCAUGCUAGCUAUGGAGUGGAAAUGUAAGCAGAACUUGUAGUUUUCUUGUCCAGUAUACUGGGGAGUGCCGACCAAUUGCCAAAAAUUCUGAAGAAACCUGAACAGUUCAUCACUCUGAUCGUGUUUCACUCCCUCAUUUCUCAGCUUCAGGACUAUAGGGCCUGCUCCAGUGGAGAACAAAAGGAGCAUGAGAGCUGAUGGCUGCAUCAGAGGUGCCCAGGCAGUAAUGUAUAGAAGGGAAUUAAACUCACUUGCAAAGAAGCACAGGACUUGGAGAUGCAGGACAUUGGUUUCACUGGCUAUUAUAAACUCUUUUCUGGGUGGCCUGGGGCAGGUGAGUUUUUGGGGUGUGUGCCCUGUCUUGCUUAUGUGGAAAGCAACAUGACUUAGAUUUCUGGAGCAGGUUAAACUCUGGUAUUUGGGACAUACUGUACUAGUGAUGAAUGAGUCCUUUCCCAACAAACUUUAAUUCUCUUAGAUUUCAACUAUCCAUUUUUUAAUGGCCAAGAGGCUGUCUGAGAAGCAUUAUGAUGCUGAUUUGGACCACUUGACAAAUCACAGUGUUUGGGUUUUCCAUUAAUAAGACAGAAAAAAAUGUAGGUCUGUCAGAUGAUUGUGGUGCUUAGAUAAUCUCUUCCUUUGCUGUUUGUCAGAGCAGUGUUAUAAUUAGUCCUUUGCAUUUUUCUCAUUUAAUUCAUCCCUCACUGCAUGUAUCUUAUCAUGCACUAUCAUGAGGCAAGUUGAAACAUUAAUUAAUUUGAGCCAUUUCAGAGAGCUGAAGGACUCAUUUAGCUGUCUUUUCCCUUUGAAUUCAGAGACCAAGAUUGUAGCUACUUGCUGCCUUCAAGUGAGAACGGUCUCUGGCAAAAUUCUUCACCUCAAGUGAACUUGCAGACAUGCGAUUUCUUGACUGGCACCUGCCAUUUAAUACCUAAGUUCUCCAUCUAGAAAUGCAGAAGAAUUAGUGAAUUCUUGUAUUAUGUAUCCUGAAUUGUGUAUGGAUAGGGAUCUGUGUCUCUGGAUCCUACUUACACUCCCUUAAUAUGUUUUAUAAUUCAGAUGUGGAUACAGUGUUUUUAAAAAACAACCAUCAACCCCCUAUAUAGUAUGUUUUACUGUAAUUUCUUUAUUUGGUCCUGAGUAUCUUCUUACAAGUAUUUCUGUGGACAUGCAAAGAGUACCUGCUGUUCCUUGCAAGACUGGUUUCCAGCCCUGCCUGCAUUAUGGAUAAAAUCCUUGUUUCAGUCAGGAAAGCAUCCUGCUGCAGAUAUUGGUCUCUGUGCUAAAUACUGGCUUACAAGCAAUCAAUGCAGUAUGGAAAACUGAGGUGUAAUAUGAAUUUUCAAACCGAGGCAAAAUUGACACUCUGUAAUCUGAAACAUUAAGGUCGAAGGCAGGCUGGGUCAUCAGGAAUUAAUGAAAACCAAAAACUGAGGAGGAGAAACUUUGAAAGACAUUCAAACACAUCACAGAAAAUCCAAUUCUUCUGUCUUCCUUUUCAGAUCUGAAGGCACACUCCAGCUCACUUGGCCUUCACCCUGGUCUAAAACAAGUGUACUCACAGCUGGCUAUCAAAACCAUGCCAGUCCCAGUGUAACCUUUCCUCCUGUUUUUACACCAUCCUAAAGAGCUGCAAGGUAAAAGGCACUGGACACUUUCCCCAUGUUAAUAUUAAUUUGGUUGUCCACUUCUGUUUUUCAUCUGUGGCUAGUUUCUUGUGGCUGUUACAUCCAACUCGACAAGUGCUGACAUUUUUCUCCCAUUCUUCAGACAGUGCUGUGAAUGGAUUUAUGUAACUGUCUUUCCUGCUCUGUGUCUGAUUUUAUAGCUUGAUGGAUAGGUCAAUUUUCAGAGGCAUGGGAUCCACAGUGAUGCUGCUUUUAGUUGCCAUUUUUUUUCAGGUCUCCUUGACAAAAUGCAGGUGAGUAUUUUGCAGUCAAAAGGGUUUGGAAAUUCUGCUGACUGAUCACUUUUCAACAAUUUGAUUAUUGCUAAAUUCUGUGAGACUCCAGUGAAGUUAAAGGCAAUGGAGAGUGUAUUGUUAUUGGAGCAGCUUUGUGUUUAGCAUGACUUGCAUCACACUUGACUGCUUUUCAAAUAUGGGCAUCUGAAGAAUACUCUGGGAAAUUUCUGAUUCCUCCUUCUGGGCUCUGGGAAGUGAAUAAAGGUUAAUCUCAUGCACCUUGUGCCA
This 2495-nucleotide long non-coding RNA is filed under the name Parus major (Great Tit). RNAcentral's name for it is "lncRNA (ENSPMJG00000011894.1)". Lineage: Eukaryota; Metazoa; Chordata; Aves; Passeriformes; Paridae. The record is from RNAcentral.